AAGGAUACAGUAUUGUUAAAACGUCGCAUGCCACACUAUUAAUAAUUUUUGGAACAUGGCAGUGUCAAUAGCGCAUCCAACUGGAAAAAUUAAAAAGUGCAUACUUCGAAAUGCUAUACGAAAACUGAUAAGCUAAUUCCAGCAGAAAUAGAUAAAUAAUGGUACAUAUCAAACACAUAAUCACCAAAUAUUCAGUAUUCAGCAACAACAGCUUCAAAUUGAUGAGCAAUUCAGCCAACUCAUUAUCAUCCUUAUAACAAAUAUGUGCAAUACUGAAAGUUUCCUUUUAGCGAAUUAGGUGUAUGACUUGCUUUCCUUUAAGAAAGGUG
RNAcentral lists this unclassified non-coding RNA (329 nucleotides) under Hevea brasiliensis (rubber tree). The record is from RNAcentral. Lineage: Eukaryota; Viridiplantae; Streptophyta; Magnoliopsida; Malpighiales; Euphorbiaceae.